This 715-nucleotide ribosomal RNA is filed under the name Bacillus pumilus. Its description in RNAcentral is "bacterial SSU rRNA". It matches the Rfam family "Bacterial small subunit ribosomal RNA", at positions 56 to 755 of the family's 1533-position model. The record is from RNAcentral. Lineage: Bacteria; Bacillati; Bacillota; Bacilli; Caryophanales; Bacillaceae.
UGCAGUCGAGCGGACAGAAGGGAGCUUGCUCCCGGAUGUUAGCGGCGGACGGGUGAGUAACACGUGGGUAACCUGCCUGUAAGACUGGGAUAACUCCGGGAAACCGGAGCUAAUACCGGAUAGUUCCUUGAACCGCAUGGUUCAAGGAUGAAAGACGGUUUCGGCUGUCACUUACAGAUGGACCCGCGGCGCAUUAGCUAGUUGGUGAGGUAACGGCUCACCAAGGCGACGAUGCGUAGCCGACCUGAGAGGGUGAUCGGCCACACUGGGACUGAGACACGGCCCAGACUCCUACGGGAGGCAGCAGUAGGGAAUCUUCCGCAAUGGACGAAAGUCUGACGGAGCAACGCCGCGUGAGUGAUGAAGGUUUUCGGAUCGUAAAGCUCUGUUGUUAGGGAAGAACAAGUGCAAGAGUAACUGCUUGCACCUUGACGGUACCUAACCAGAAAGCCACGGCUAACUACGUGCCAGCAGCCGCGGUAAUACGUAGGUGGCAAGCGUUGUCCGGAAUUAUUGGGCGUAAAGGGCUCGCAGGCGGUUUCUUAAGUCUGAUGUGAAAGCCCCCGGCUCAACCGGGGAGGGUCAUUGGAAACUGGGAAACUUGAGUGCAGAAGAGGAGAGUGGAAUUCCACGUGUAGCGGUGAAAUGCGUAGAGAUGUGGAGGAACACCAGUGGCGAAGGCGACUCUCUGGUCUGUAACUGACGCUGAGGAGCG